Molecule: ribosomal RNA, 232 nt
Filed under: uncultured bacterium
Lineage: Bacteria
Description: partial 16S ribosomal RNA
Rfam family: Bacterial small subunit ribosomal RNA
Source: RNAcentral
GAUCAUGGCUCAGGAUGAACGCUAGCUACAGGCUUAACACAUGCAAGUCGAGGGGCAGCAUAGUGUUCUAGCAAUAGAAUACGGAUGGCGACCGGCGCACGGGUGAGUAACACGUAUCCAACCUGCCCACCACUUGGGGAUAACCUUGCGAAAGUAAGACUAAUACCCAAUGACAUCCCACGAAGACAUCUGAAUGGGAUUAAAGAUUUAUCGGUGAUGGAUGGGGAUGCGU